GACGAACGCUGGCGGCGUGCCUAAUACAUGCAAGUCGAGCGGACUGAAUGGGAGCUUGCUCUUGUUCGGUCAGCGGCGGACGGGUGAGUAACACGUGGGCAACCUGCCCGCAAGACCGGGAUAACUCCGGGAAACCGGAGCUAAUACCGGAUAACACCGAAGACCGCAUGGUCUUUGGUUGAAAGGCGGCGCAAGCUGCCACUUGCGGAUGGGCCCGCGGCGCAUUAGCUAGUUGGUGAGGUAACGGCUCACCAAGGCGACGAUGCGUAGCCGGCCUGAGAGGGUGACCGGCCACACUGGGACUGAGACACGGCCCAGACUCCUACGGGAGGCAGCAGUAGGGAAUCUUCCGCAAUGGGCGAGAGCCUGACGGAGCGACGCCGCGUGAGCGAAGAAGGCCUUCGGGUCGUAAAGCUCUGUUGUGAGGGACGAAGGAGCGCCGUUUGAAGAAGGCGGCGCGGUGACGGUACCUCACGAAGAAGCCCCGGCUAACUACGUG
Molecule: ribosomal RNA, 499 nt
Filed under: uncultured bacterium
Lineage: Bacteria
Description: partial 16S ribosomal RNA
Rfam family: Bacterial small subunit ribosomal RNA
Source: RNAcentral